GAUGAACGCUGGCGGCGUGCCUAAUACAUGCAAGUCGAGCGAACAGACGAGGAGCUUGCUCCUCUGACGUUAGCGGCGGACGGGUGAGUAACACGUGGAUAACCUACCUAUAAGACUGGGAUAACUUCGGGAAACCGGAGCUAAUACCGGAUAAUAUAUUGAACCGCAUGGUUCAAUAGUGAAAGACGGUUUUGCUGUCACUUAUAGAUGGAUCCGCGCCGCAUUAGCUAGUUGGUAAGGUAACGGCUUACCAAGGCAACGAUGCGUAGCCGACCUGAGAGGGUGAUCGGCCACACAGGGACUGAGAGACGGUCCAGACUCCGACGGGAGGCAGCGGUAGGGAAUCUUCCGCAAUGGGCGAAAGCCUGACGGAGCAACGCCGCGUGAGUGAUGAAGGUCUUCGGAUCGUAAAACUCUGUUAUUAGGGAAGAACAAAUGUGUAAGUAACUAUGCACGUCUUGACGGUACCUAAUCAGAAAGCCACGGCUAACUACGUG
This 497-nucleotide ribosomal RNA is filed under the name uncultured bacterium. RNAcentral describes it as "partial 16S ribosomal RNA". It matches the Rfam family "Bacterial small subunit ribosomal RNA", at positions 28 to 507 of the family's 1533-position model. The record is from RNAcentral.